CCUUAGCCGUGCCUAAGUAAGUAAUGAAUAUUAGGGCGAUCCCUUGAACUGGCCACCUGAAUCCUCGCUAUCAGCCUGUGUUCUGUACAAGGAACUCAGAUUAAAAUCCAUUUAUCAUCAUUCAAUUAUAUAUUUUAUUGCUUAGAUUGUCAAUUUAGAACUGAGAAUUUAUAUAGCAUUUUAUGUUACUAAUACUCAUUUGUGCAUCCCCUAACCUCUCUUGAAUCUUACCUCAGUAUCUUCACUCUCUUACUCACCUCACCUGAUUCUCGCUCAACUCUCAACUCUCAUCUCACUUUCUCCACUCUCUCUCUCAUUAAAAGUGCAUUUGAACCGUAAGUAGGGUUAAUCGCCUCAAUUGGGUUCAAUCCUCGCUCUCUUUUGCUCUGGCUAAUUAAAGUAGCUAAUCGAAGCAGGGAAUUCAUGGAUCUUAAUGGAUUUUACGGGUCUUCAUGAAUUUCUUAUAAUUGAUACAAUUACAUCGACUUUUUCAUGGAUUUUGUACUAAUCAGGACUACAAUCUUCAUUUUCCAGGAGAUUAGGGCUCUCUCUCGAGGCUUGAAGUCGGGGCUUUUACUUUGAGAUUUGAGUUAGGACUUUCAAUUAAGGCAGAAUGAGAUUGAUAGUAAAUUUCUAGAAGCACAGAACAUCAUGGACUAUAGUUUUCUGCUUGGUGUGCAUUAUCAAGCUCCGCAGCAUCUGCGAUCUCUUAUGUCUUAUAAUCAAAGUCUGGCAGACGGACUUGGAGUAGUUGCGGAAGAAGGUGGGAUGCACAUUUGUAUAACCAAUUUAUGAUUUAAAGAUUCCUAAAUCUUUCGAUCAGGAUAGGUCACACAUAAGAAAAUUGAUUUCUAUUUCACAGCUAAAAGUCACGCAUUUUUCAUAACUAUAUUAACUUCAGAGCACUAGACUCCUUCUGCAGAGUAUCGCGAUAUAACCUUGUGAAUAUCAUUGAUUCACCUUGCACUCUUUUCUUA
Daucus carota subsp. sativus is the source of this 977-nucleotide long non-coding RNA. RefSeq lists it as uncharacterized. Lineage: Eukaryota; Viridiplantae; Streptophyta; Magnoliopsida; Apiales; Apiaceae. The record is from RefSeq and is a predicted model, not a curated record. The transcript has 2 exons.